UACGUAGGGCGCAAGCGUUGUCCGGAUUUAUUGGGCGUAAAGAGCUCGUAGGCGGACCUGCAAGUCGGGGGUGAAAGCCCGAGGCUCAACCUCGGAACUGCCUUCGAUACUGCGGGUCUCGAGUCCGGGAGAGGUGAGUGGAAUUCCUAGUGUAGAGGUGAAAUUCGUAGAUAUUAGGAAGAACACCAGUGGCGAAGGCGGCUCACUGGCCCGGUACUGACGCUGAGGCGCGAAAGCGUGGGGAGCAAACAGG
Molecule: ribosomal RNA, 253 nt
Filed under: uncultured bacterium
Lineage: Bacteria
Description: partial 16S ribosomal RNA
Rfam family: Bacterial small subunit ribosomal RNA
Source: RNAcentral